Long non-coding RNA from Physeter macrocephalus (sperm whale), 493 nucleotides. RefSeq lists it as uncharacterized. The record is from RefSeq and is a predicted model, not a curated record. The transcript is spliced from 5 exons. NCBI's taxonomy places the organism in Eukaryota, Metazoa, Chordata, Mammalia, Artiodactyla, Physeteridae.
CCACACCAGAGAUUCCAAGAUGGGAGAGUCCAUCCAUCCUUCAGCUCAAGUGAAAUCUUGGUCUGCAGCGGGGAGGGGAGAGAGCGGAAGAGGAGACACAGAGAAGGAACAAUAUGUGAAGCCAGUUCACAUCUCAGUACGAAGAAACCCACCAGGCUCAAAUUCACUGGAAACCCAACCUGAAGUAUUACUGUAUCCACGGCAACCACAGCAACUGUAAUCACCACCGGCCUGACCACCACCACUGCUACCAGCAUGGAGCACAGGCUCACCGUGGACCACAUCUGGUGCCCUCACGGCUGGAAGCCGUCGGUGUUCAAAUCCCCAGGGUCACCUCAGCUGUUGGUCCUGCUGGAAUAAUAUCCUUCUCUUUCCCAGGGCACAUUUCCGGUUUUUCUUCUUUGGCUGAACGCAGAAUGUGACAGUGUGUAGGCUGUGGGCUUUCACACCUGGGAGUAGAAGUGGCACUGAAAUGGCUUUGCAUUCAUCCCGG